UAGCUGUCUCGUGGUUGUGAGUGAGCUGUAAUGAGAUGAGUAUGUACCGAUGAGCAUUCGCUGCAGCUAAGAGCCUCUUCAGAACAAACAGCACAAAGGAACCAGAGGCUGCAUAAUCUUGAUUGUCAUCACAUCUGCCGUAAUGUCAAUGCAAACAGACUCUUCAAAGGCUCAUGGGACUUUGACACUGCACCCAUCAGUCAUGACAGCACAGCAUCCGUGUCGUCUCCAGAUCCCUGGAGCUCAGGCUUUGAUCUAGCAGCAGUCCUCAGCCUCCUCCCCACACACCCCGUCCAAACGCCUGUGCUGUUGAUAGGAGUUUGUUUGCCUUCCGCCAGGCUUGUGUAAAGCAUGUGAUCCUGUCACGGGAACCUCGUCCUUCAGUCCACCUGAGGUGUGUCAGCCACAUGUGACCCAAACCCCAAAAGGAAGGAUGGGAAGUUUAAACCUCAAGUCCUUCUGGGUCCUAAAAAAAAGUGCACAAUUCCACACACAGGUAAACUGGUAUUAAUCAGAGUAGAAUACGGUCCACCCAUCAAACUUAAUGAAAUCUGCUGGCCUCAAUCUAAUGCUUCAAGGGUGCCCGCCCGGACAGAGAGAUCAUCCUCUUGAGGGCUU
Long non-coding RNA from Cyprinus carpio (common carp), 618 nucleotides. Lineage: Eukaryota; Metazoa; Chordata; Actinopteri; Cypriniformes; Cyprinidae. The record is from Ensembl.